RNAcentral lists this ribosomal RNA (660 nucleotides) under Heteroderidae sp. CD2532. RNAcentral describes it as "partial 28S ribosomal RNA". It matches the Rfam family "Eukaryotic large subunit ribosomal RNA", at positions 408 to 904 of the family's 3401-position model. Lineage: Eukaryota; Metazoa; Nematoda; Chromadorea; Rhabditida; Heteroderidae. The record is from RNAcentral.
GUGAGGUGGAAACGGACAGAGCCGGCGUAUCUGGCCUACAUUCAGCUGCGUGUUGCGUGUGUUUGGUCGCCCAUCUCCAGAUUGGGUUGGCAGCCAUUCUGCUCGUGCUCCGCGGUGCAUUUGUGGGUGGAGUGCGCUGAGGGGCCCGGCGCAGCUGCACGAGCUCGUCCUUGAGGCCAGCCUUUCGGGGCCUGGUACCCGGGACGGGGGAGUGUUGUUUGUGCUGGGUUGUGUGGUGGCACUGGUUUCGGGCUCGUGUUGGCUCUGAGCUGGCAAUCGGUUGCGGUCGCAUGCGACUUGUGCCGGAGGUCAGUUCGGUCCUGCGCGAGCUCCCAAUUGUGUCUGCUCUCGGUGUAAAAGCUGGUCAUCUGUCCGACCCGUCUUGAAACACGGACCAAGGAGUUUAGCGUGUGCGCGAGUCAUUGGGUGUUAAAAACCCAAAGGCACAAUGAAAGUGAAUGCGUCCCUUGUGAAGCUGAUGUGUGACCCUGGGCGCUGCGGCGCUCGGGUGCAACGUGGUCCCGUUUCGACCGCAUGCGGUGGGGCGGAGACAGAGCGUGCGCGCUGAGACCCGAAAGAUGGUGAACUAUUCCUGAGCAGGAUGAAGCCAGAGGAAACUCUGGUGGAAGUCCGAAGCGGUUCUGACGUGCAAAUCGAUCG